UACGGAAGGCAGCAGUGGGGAAUAUUGCACAAUGGGCGAAAGCCUGAUGCAGCUAUGCCGCGUGUAUGAAGAAGGCCUUAGGGUUGUAAAGUACUUUCAUCGGGGAGGAAAAACAAAACUAAUAAUUUUAUUUCUUGACGUUACCCGAAAAAGAAGCACCGGCUAACUCCGUGCCAGCAGCCGCGGUAAUACGGAGGGUGCUAGUGUUAAUCAGAAUUACUGGGCGUAAAGAGCACGUAGGUGGUUUUUUUAAGUCAGAUGUGAAAUCCCUGGGCUUAACCUAGGAACUGCAUUUUGAAACUGAAAUACUAGAGUAUCGUAGAGGGAGGUAGAAUUCUAGGUGUAGCGGUGAAAUGCGUAGAUAUCUGGAGGAAUACCUGUGGCGAAAGCGGCCUCCUAAACGAAUACUGACACUGAGGUGCGAAAGCGUGGGGAGCAAAACAGGGAUUAGAUACC
RNAcentral lists this ribosomal RNA (456 nucleotides) under uncultured bacterium. RNAcentral's name for it is "bacterial SSU rRNA". It matches the Rfam family "Bacterial small subunit ribosomal RNA", at positions 340 to 786 of the family's 1533-position model. The record is from RNAcentral.